This 301-nucleotide ribosomal RNA is filed under the name uncultured bacterium. RNAcentral describes it as "partial 16S ribosomal RNA". It matches the Rfam family "Bacterial small subunit ribosomal RNA", at positions 509 to 807 of the family's 1533-position model. The record is from RNAcentral.
CAGUAGCCACGGGAAUACGGAGGGGGCUAGCGUUGUUCGGAAUUACUGGGCGUAAAGCGCACGUAGGCGGCUUUGUAAGUUAGAGGUGAAAGCCCGGAGCUCAACUCCGGAACUGCCUUUAAGACUGCCGAGCUAGUAGGUGAGAGAGGUAAGUGGAAUUCCGAGUGUAGAGGUGAAAUUCGUAGAUAUUCGGAAGAACACCAGUGGCGAAGGCGGCUUACUGGCUCAUUCUAGACGCUGAGGUGCGAAAGCGUGGGGAGCAAACAGGAUUAGAUACCCCUGUAGUCCCUGUCUCUUAUAC